UUUAAGGUCUAGCCUGCCCAAUGAGGAGUUAAAUGGCCGCGGUAUUUUGACCGUGCAAAGGUAGCAUAAUAAUUAGUUUUUUAAUUGAAAGCUGGAAUGAAUGGUUGGACGAGAGAGUUACUGUCUCAUUUUAAUUUUUUAUUUGAAUUUUAUUUUUAGGUAAAAAAGCUUAAAUUUCUUUAAAAGACGAGAAGACCCUAUAGAGUUUUACAUUAAUUAUUUUAUUUUUGGUUUAGUAUUAAUUUUUUUUAUAUGUUAAUUAAUGUUUUGUUGGGGUGAUAUGGAAAUUAAUAUAACUUUCUAUUGGUUUUUUCACUUUUUUGUGAUUUUUUGAUCCAUUUAUUAUGAUUAUAAGAUUCAAUUACCUUAGGGAUAACAGCGUAAUUUUUUUUUAGAGUUCUAAUCGAAAGAAAAGUUUGCGACCUCGAUGUUGGAUUAAAAUUAAUGUUUGGUGCAGAAGCUAGAUAAUUGGGUCUGUUCGACCUUUGAAAUUUUACA
Molecule: ribosomal RNA, 498 nt
Filed under: Hybocamenta sp. DA3836
Lineage: Eukaryota; Metazoa; Arthropoda; Insecta; Coleoptera; Scarabaeidae
Description: partial 16S large subunit ribosomal RNA
Rfam family: Bacterial large subunit ribosomal RNA
Source: RNAcentral